CCUACGGGAGGCAGCAGUGAGGAAUAUUGGUCAAUGGGCGGAAGCCUGAACCAGCCAAGUCGCGUGAGGGAAGAAGGCCCUGCGGGUCGCAGACCUCUUUGGACGGGGAGCAAGGCCGCCGACGUGUCGGCGGAAGGAGAGUACCCGUAGAACAAGCAUCGGCCAACUCCGUGCCAGCAGCCGCGGUAAUACGGAGGAUCCGAGCGUUAUCCGGAUUUAUUGGGUUUAAAGGGAGCGUAGAUGGGUUGUUAAGUCAGUUGUGAAAGUUUGCGGCUCAACCGUAAAAUUGCAAUUGAUACUGGCGG
This 305-nucleotide ribosomal RNA is filed under the name uncultured bacterium. Its description in RNAcentral is "bacterial SSU rRNA". It matches the Rfam family "Bacterial small subunit ribosomal RNA", at positions 338 to 639 of the family's 1533-position model. The record is from RNAcentral.